RNAcentral lists this ribosomal RNA (465 nucleotides) under uncultured bacterium. RNAcentral describes it as "partial 16S ribosomal RNA". It matches the Rfam family "Bacterial small subunit ribosomal RNA", at positions 338 to 795 of the family's 1533-position model. The record is from RNAcentral.
CCUACGGGAGGCAGCAGUAGGGAAUUUUCGUCAAUGGGCGCAAGCCUGAACGAGCGAUGCCGCGUGAGUGAAGAAGGCCUUCGGGUCGUAAAGCUCUGUUUCGGGGGAAAAAAGGCAGCAUCAGGAAAUGGGUGCUGACUGAUGGUGCCCCGCCAGAAAGUCACGGCUAACUACGUGCCAGCAGCCGCGGUAAUACGUAGGUUGCGAGCGUUAUCCGGAAGGAUUGGGCGUAAAGGGGGCGCAGGCGGUCCUGCAAGUCUGGAGUGAAACGCAUGAGCUCAACUCAUGCAUGGCUUUGGAAACUGGAGGACUGGAGAGCAGGAGAGGGCGGUGGAACUCCAUGUGUAGCGGUAAAAUGCGUAGAUAUAUGGAAGAACACCAGUGGCGAAGGCGGCCGCCUGGCCUGUUGCUGACGCUGAGGCACGAAAGCGUGGGGAGCAAAUAGGAUUAGAUACCCCUGUAGUC